This 289-nucleotide ribosomal RNA is filed under the name uncultured bacterium. Its description in RNAcentral is "partial 16S ribosomal RNA". It matches the Rfam family "Bacterial small subunit ribosomal RNA", at positions 773 to 1060 of the family's 1533-position model. The record is from RNAcentral.
GUGGAUUAGAUACCCUGGUAGUCCACGCCGUAAACGAUGAGAGCUAGUUGUCAGUAAGUAUACUUAUUGGUGACGCAGCUAACGCUUUAAGCUCUCCGCCUGGGGAGUACGGCCGCAAGGUUAAAACUCAAAGAAAUUGACGGGGGCCCGCACAAGCGGUGGAGCAUGUGGUUUAAUUCGAAGCAACGCGCAGAACCUUACCCACGUUUGACAUGUCGAGGUAUUGGACCAGAGAUGGACCAAGCUCUUCGGAGCCUCGAACACAGGUGCUGCAUGGCCGUCGUCAGCU